Long non-coding RNA from Polypterus senegalus (gray bichir), 837 nucleotides. RefSeq lists it as uncharacterized. NCBI's taxonomy places the organism in Eukaryota, Metazoa, Chordata, Cladistia, Polypteriformes, Polypteridae. The record is from RefSeq and is a predicted model, not a curated record. The transcript is spliced from 3 exons.
AGAAAAACACACACAGGCAUGGGAUCAUUCAAAGAUCAGGAAGGUAGUGACUUAGUUGGGAAUACAACUCAGUGAUGCUUUGUGCAGAUUGGCUACCAGUCCAAUGCAGCAGGGGUCUGAUUGAACUCAGCAUGCCAUGAUUUUCAGGUUAAAAGCGCACAGAUUUACAAGUCAGUCUUGGUCAAGUGUUUCUGGUCCACAGAAAAAAGAAAAAUGUCCCUGCAGACAACGAUAGAAGCUGGCUGAUAACAGUGUGACUCCUGUGUGCUCUGCCACCGAUCUCAUGUAUUACAGAUCAGAACUGUCACUGCAAUUCAUCUUCUAUGGAUGCAAAGAACCUUUGCUAUCUGCAAAGUGUUAACCUGAGAAGUAAAUAGCCUUACACAGAAAAUAUACUGUAGCAGAAAAAAAUACACAAAAAGGCAACUGAGAUCAUAAAGAUGACAUAAAAUGUUUUUACCAAUAAUGGAGCUUUAAAUUAACACUGAUUUACCUCACUGAUGACCUGAAAUGGACACAUCACAACUAUCAUCAAGAAGGUUUCCUAAUGUUUUUACUUCCUUAGACAUUGUGGCAGAUGGCCGGGGCCCAUGCCCAACCGAGACGCCGCUGCAGCAUAUGUUCCAGGGGAGCAAGCCUGGGAGACCCAGUACCUCCUCCUGGACGCUAGAUGGCAUCCUCCCUGGGUUUCAGCGGUGCCUCGGACUCCUGCAGGGCUUCAUGGGAGUUGGAGUUUGGUGCAGCUCUGUUGGAGGUGCUACAGCAGGAGUUGCUGGCCCCUUUUGGGCACUGGUUUCGCCACACCCGGAAAUGCAGCCUGGAGUCAGCAAUCAAGCA